RNAcentral lists this ribosomal RNA (465 nucleotides) under uncultured bacterium. RNAcentral describes it as "bacterial SSU rRNA". It matches the Rfam family "Bacterial small subunit ribosomal RNA", at positions 45 to 524 of the family's 1533-position model. The record is from RNAcentral.
GGCCUAACACAUGCAAGUCGAACGAUGAUCCCACCUUGCUGGGGGAUUAAUGGCGAACGGGUGAGUAACACGUGAGUAACCUGGCCUUAACUCUGGGAUAAGCCUGGGAAACUGGGUCUAAUACCGGAUAUGACUCCUCAUCGCAUGGUGGGGGGUGGAAAGCUUUGUGUGGUUUUGGAUGGACUCGCGGCCUAUCAGCUUCUUGGUGAGGUAAUGGCUUACCAAGGCGACGACGGGUAGCCGGCCUGACAGGGUGACCGGCCACACUGGGACUGAUACACGGCCCAGACUCCUACGGGAGGCAGUAGUGGGGAAUAUUGCUCAAUGGGCGCAAGCCUGAUGCAGCGACGCCGUGUGAGGGAUGACGGCCUUCGGGUUGUAAACCUCUUUCAGUAGGGAAGAAGCAAUAGUGACUGUACCGCCAGAAGAAGCGCCGGCUAACUACGUGCCAGCAGCCGCGGGAAU